AGAUCCCGAUCCAGCGAUCGUCUAUGAAGGACAGAAGCUCGUCCUGCGCUGUCUCGUCAGGAAGGGGACGCAUCUGUCCUUCACAUGGUACCACGACACACAGUUAGUGAACUCCUCGUCAGAGCUCCACCGGCUCUCCGGAGACGCUCUCACGGUGGACGGGGCGACUGAAAUGCAUGCUGGGAUAUACUCAUGCACAGCUCAAAACCAGAUGACCGUCAACCCCAGAUUCUCCAGCAGCCGAAACCUCCACGUCACUGUCAAAAAGCGCAUCUCGGCGCCCUCGUUAUCGUUUACGGUCUUCUCUAACGGCUCCAGCCUGACGGCCAACAUCAGCUGCCGUUCUGAGCGUGGAUCUCCGCCCGUGACGUUCAGAUUGAUGUUGGACGGACUGGAGCUGGAUGUGAAGCGAGUGGAUUCACUAGAGUCCUGGUUCGUUCUGCCGAUCUCUGUGGGUCUGGAUCUGGGAGCCGCUCGAUGUAAAGCACAAACGGAAACACAGCAGCUGCUGUCUGAUCCCGUGCGUUUACUCGUAGUUCCAGUAGGUGGCGCUGUGCGUGUCACAGUAACGUACCUCCACGACGCCGACGGGACGGUGGCAGCCGCUCGGCUCAAAUGUGUCCCAGACAUAGGAACGUUUCCCACAUUCUCCUGGCGUCUGAACCAUUCCUCCCUUCCAGCAGAGGGCGACGCUCACGCGGUCACUCAUCACGGUCAGAUCUUGAUCCUCACAGAUGUCAGCGCUGGGUUUUACCGCUGCAGGGUGAGGGACAGUUUUAACGACAGCUCAGUCUGGGUGGAGAGCGAGGACAUCUUUAUUCAGAAGACAGAUUUGGCAGCGACGCCCGUGGAGGUCAUUGCGUUGGUUUUCUGUGGUUUCCUGUCGAUUGUGAUUGUGUUAGGCUCAUUCUUUAUGUUCUGGAGCACCAAGCGCAGAAACAACAGCUGCAAACAUCACAGUAACCAGGACGUGAUCCAGUCUGAGAUGAUAACAAUGAAUGAUCCUGUAGCUGAUGUUUCCUCUGAACCUCAACCUGUGGAAAUGAAACAGUCAUCAUGGAGUUUGAGGCCUAGAGGUCUAGACCAGUGUCCUGCAGAGACGUCUUGAAGAUUCUAGAAAUCCUGAACACUUUGAUUAGCUCUUUAAUUAAGGUGAAAGAUGAACUCUGACUGGACAUCAAUCACUACUGAGCCAUUUUCCUGUUUUUAAAUUGUUUUCUAUCAAUGAGAUUGUAAGGCUUUUAUAUACCAAAUAAAUGUUUAAUUUAUCAAAUGCUUCUACUGAAUAUAUGCUUUCUAUGGAGAGAGAUUC
RNAcentral lists this long non-coding RNA (1312 nucleotides) under Sinocyclocheilus anshuiensis. RNAcentral's name for it is "lncRNA (ENSSANG00000015922.1)". The record is from RNAcentral. Lineage: Eukaryota; Metazoa; Chordata; Actinopteri; Cypriniformes; Cyprinidae.